Lontra canadensis (Northern American river otter) is the source of this 119-nucleotide long non-coding RNA. RefSeq lists it as uncharacterized. The transcript has 3 exons. The record is from RefSeq and is a predicted model, not a curated record. NCBI's taxonomy places the organism in Eukaryota, Metazoa, Chordata, Mammalia, Carnivora, Mustelidae.
ACUUCUCCAGGGGCUGCCCACUGGCCACUCCUGACCUUACUUGGCAAAUCUACCCUGCGGGCAAAGCAUCCUGUGACAGGAACCAAAACUACCACCCCCUCAAGCAAUAAGGACUGCCC